Molecule: ribosomal RNA, 306 nt
Filed under: uncultured Syntrophus sp.
Lineage: Bacteria; Pseudomonadati; Thermodesulfobacteriota; Syntrophia; Syntrophales; Syntrophaceae
Description: bacterial SSU rRNA
Rfam family: Bacterial small subunit ribosomal RNA
Source: RNAcentral
GUUGGGUUAAGUCCCGCAACGAGCGCAACCCUUGUCUUUAAUUGCCAUCAUUCAGUUGGGCACUUUAAAGAGACUGCCGGUGUUAAACCGGAGGAAGGUGGGAUGACGUCAAGUCCUCAUGGCCUUUAUGCCCAGGGCUACACACGUGCUACAAUGGGUGGUACAAAGAGAUGCAAUCUCGCAAGAGCAAGCAAACCUCAAAAAGCCAUCCUCAGUUCGGAUUGGAGUCUGCAACUCGACUCCAUGAAGUCGGAAUCGCUAGUAAUCGCGGAUCAGCACGCCGCGGUGAAUACGUUCCCGGGCCUU